RNAcentral lists this ribosomal RNA (696 nucleotides) under uncultured bacterium. Its description in RNAcentral is "bacterial SSU rRNA". It matches the Rfam family "Bacterial small subunit ribosomal RNA", at positions 32 to 715 of the family's 1533-position model. The record is from RNAcentral.
AACGCUAGCUACAGGCUUAACACAUGCAAGUCGAGGGGAAACGAUAUUGGAAGCUUGCUUCCGAUAGGCGUCGACCGGCGCACGGGUGAGUAACGCGUAUCCAACCUGCCCGCCACUUGGGGAUAACCUUGCGAAAGUAAGACUAAUACCCAAUGACGUCUCUAGAAGACAUCUGAAAGAGAUUAAAGAUUUAUCGGUGAUGGAUGGGGAUGCGUCUGAUUAGCUUGUUGGCGGGGUAACGGCCCACCAAGGCGACGAUCAGUAGGGGUUCUGAGAGGAAGGUCCCCCACAUUGGAACUGAGACACGGUCCAAACUCCUACGGGAGGCAGCAGUGAGGAAUAUUGGUCAAUGGACGAGAGUCUGAACCAGCCAAGUAGCGUGCAGGAUGACGGCCCUAUGGGUUGUAAACUGCUUUUAUAAGGGAAUAAAGUGAGUCUCGUGAGACUUUUUGCAUGUACCUUAUGAAUAAGGACCGGCUAAUUCCGUGCCAGCAGCCGCGGUAAUACGGAAGGUCCGGGCGUUAUCCGGAUUUAUUGGGUUUAAAGGGAGCGUAGGCCGGAGAUUAAGCGUGUUGUGAAAUGUAGACGCUCAACGUCUGCACUGCAGCGCGAACUGGUUUCCUUGAGUACGCACAAAGUGGGCGGAAUUCGUGGUGUAGCGGUGAAAUGCUUUGAUAUCACGAAGAACUCCGAUUG